UGGUCUAUGGUGUAAUUGGCAGCACGACUGGUUCUGGUCCAGUUAGUCUAGGUUCGAGUCCUAGUAGACCAGCCA
This 75-nucleotide transfer RNA is filed under the name Nocardioides sp. RNAcentral describes it as "tRNA-Gln". It matches the Rfam family "tRNA". From Rfam's summary of the family: Transfer RNA (tRNA) molecules are approximately 80 nucleotides in length. Their secondary structure includes four short double-helical elements and three loops (D, anti-codon, and T loops). Further hydrogen bonds mediate the characteristic L-shaped molecular structure. tRNAs have two regions of fundamental functional importance: the anti-codon, which is responsible for specific mRNA codon recognition, and the 3' end, to which the tRNAs corresponding amino acid is attached (by aminoacyl-tRNA synthetases). tRNAs cope with the degeneracy of the genetic code in two manners: having more than one tRNA (with a specific anti-codon) for a particular amino acid; and 'wobble' base-pairing, i.e. permitting non-standard base-pairing at the 3rd anti-codon position. The record is from RNAcentral. RNAcentral also lists the same sequence under 6 other names. Lineage: Bacteria; Bacillati; Actinomycetota; Actinomycetes; Propionibacteriales; Nocardioidaceae.